GGGCCUGUACUGGUUUCGACAGCAUAGGUUGCGGUAAGUAUAAGCACGUCGUGUGUUGUGUAAUUAACACGUUAAUCUGAAUACUCACAAUUUAACUGGCAAUACUUCGUAUGCCAUGGCUGCCUAAUCAGUGAUUAGCUAGUCAUUUGGGCCGCAGAACAGGUUUUCUUGAUACCAAGUUCUCCCGCCGACUCAAAACAAAUUCAAGAUGCUGUAAUAAAAGGCUGUGAUUAUUACAAAAGAUUAUUCAGCUAAGGUUAAAGUUGGUUUGUUCUUUUCCUGCUUUUUCCUAACAAUCAAUAAAGAAAUAAACGUGUAGAAACCUUAUGGUAAAUAUGUUUGGACAGGAGUUCGAUUCUCCUCAGGUCCACAA
RNAcentral lists this transfer-messenger RNA (373 nucleotides) under Chitinophagaceae. RNAcentral describes it as "CAIVPM01 sp018335935 Standard tmRNA". It matches the Rfam family "transfer-messenger RNA". From Rfam's summary of the family: Bacterial tmRNA, also known as 10Sa RNA or SsrA, is named for its dual tRNA and mRNA-like properties. Its role is to liberate the mRNA from a stalled ribosome. RNAcentral also lists the same sequence under 1 other name. The record is from RNAcentral. Lineage: Bacteria; Pseudomonadati; Bacteroidota; Chitinophagia; Chitinophagales.